This 468-nucleotide ribosomal RNA is filed under the name uncultured bacterium. RNAcentral describes it as "partial 16S ribosomal RNA". It matches the Rfam family "Bacterial small subunit ribosomal RNA", at positions 28 to 507 of the family's 1533-position model. The record is from RNAcentral.
GACGAACGCUGGCGGCGUGCUUAACACAUGCAAGUCGAACGGAAAGGCGCUGCUCUUGUGGCUUUCUCGAUUGGCGAACGGGUGAGUAACACGUGUGUAACCUGCCCCUGACUUUGGGAUAACUCCAGGAAACUCGGGCUAUUAUCGCAUAGGAGCUCCUGCUGCACGGUGGGGGUUGGUAAGUUUCGGCGGUUGGGGAUGGACUCGCUGGUUAUCGGCUUGUUGGUCGGGUAGUGGCGUACCACGGCUGUGACGGGUAGCCGGCCUGGGAGGGUGACCGGCCACCUUGGGCCUGAGAGAGGGACCAGAAGGCUACGGGCGGCAGCAGGGGGGAGUAUGGCGCAAUGGGCGGAAGCCUGAUGCAGCAACGCCGCGUGCGGGAUACCGGCCUUCGAGUGAUAAACAGAUUUCGCCGGUACCGAGGCGUGAGUGACGGUAAUGAGUAAGAAAGCACCGGCUAACUACGUG